This 402-nucleotide ribosomal RNA is filed under the name uncultured Paracoccaceae bacterium. Its description in RNAcentral is "bacterial SSU rRNA". It matches the Rfam family "Bacterial small subunit ribosomal RNA", at positions 355 to 774 of the family's 1533-position model. Lineage: Bacteria; Pseudomonadati; Pseudomonadota; Alphaproteobacteria; Rhodobacterales; Paracoccaceae. The record is from RNAcentral.
UGGGGAAUCUUAGACAAUGGGGGAAACCCUGAUCUAGCGAUGCCGCGUGUGUGACGAAGGCCUUAGGGUCGUAAAGCACUUUCGCCAAGGAUGAUAAUGACAGUACUUGGUAAAGAAACCCCGGCUAACUCCGUGCCAGCAGCCGCGGUAAUACGGAGGGGGUUAGCGUUGUUCGGAAUUACUGGGCGUAAAGCGCACGUAGGCGGAUAUUUAAGUUAGAGGUGAAAUCCCAGGGCUCAACCCUGGAACGGCCUUUAAUACUGGAUGUCUUGAGUUCGAGAGAGGUAAGUGGAAUUCCAAGUGUAGAGGUGAAAUUCGUAGAUAUUUGGAGGAACACCAGUGGCGAAGGCGGCUUACUGGCUCGAUACUGACGCUGAGGUGCGAAAGCGUGGGGAGCAAACA